AAAAACAUAGCCCUAAGUAAUUAUUUAGGGUGAAGCCUGCUCAAUGAUAAAUUUAAAUAGCCGCGGUACCUUGACCGUGCUAAGGUAGCAUAAUCAGUUGACUUUUAAAUGAAGUCUGGAAUGAAUGGAAUAACGGGACUAAGCUGUCUCUAUAUUUUUCUUUUAAAUUUACUAACUAGGUGAAAAGGCCUAGAUAUGAUAAAAGACGAUAAGACCCUUAGAGUUUUUUAACAUAUUUUGUUGGGGCGACAAGGAACCAGUAAACGUUCCUAUUAUUAUGUGACGGAUUUUUCAUGAUUAGAUAAACUACCUGAGGGAUAACAGCAUUAUCUUUUAAGGUUUGUGACCUCGAUGUUGGACUAGGAAGCCUAUAGGUUAGCUGCUUAUAAGGGAGGUUCUGUUCGAACUAAUACUCCUACGUGA
RNAcentral lists this ribosomal RNA (423 nucleotides) under Tubulophilinopsis reticulata. RNAcentral's name for it is "partial 16S ribosomal RNA". It matches the Rfam family "Bacterial large subunit ribosomal RNA", at positions 1809 to 2603 of the family's 2925-position model. Lineage: Eukaryota; Metazoa; Mollusca; Gastropoda; Cephalaspidea; Aglajidae. The record is from RNAcentral.